AGCUCCAAUAGCGUAUAUUAAAGCUGUUGCGGUUAAAAAGCUCGUAGUUGGAUUUCUGUCAAGGACAACUGGUCCGCCCUCCGGGUGAGCACAUAGUUUGGUCUUGGCAUCUUGUUCAAAGCUGAUACUGCUCUUCACUGGGUGGUGCAGUUUUGGGCACUUUCACUUUGAGGAAAUUGGAGUGUUUCAAGCAGGCACAUGCCUUUGGACACAGUAGCAUGGAAUAAUUAGAUUGGGCUUUUGCUCCAACUUGUCGGUUCCUGGAGCUGAGGUGAGAAUCAAUGGGGAUUGUUGGGGGCAUCUGAAUUUAGCCGUCAGAGGUGAAAUUCUUGGAUCUGCUAAAGACGGACAACUGCGAAAGCGUUUGCCCAGGAUGUUUUCA
This 382-nucleotide ribosomal RNA is filed under the name uncultured eukaryote. RNAcentral's name for it is "SSU rRNA". It matches the Rfam family "Eukaryotic small subunit ribosomal RNA", at positions 587 to 972 of the family's 1831-position model. The record is from RNAcentral.